Molecule: long non-coding RNA, 342 nt
Filed under: Elaeis guineensis (African oil palm)
Lineage: Eukaryota; Viridiplantae; Streptophyta; Magnoliopsida; Arecales; Arecaceae
Description: long non-coding RNA (EGUI_LNC077488)
Source: RNAcentral
UUGUUACUUGCAGAUUCGGAUGAUAUGGGUUUACUAUUGACCCCACAAUUAUACGGAGUAAAGGCUAGCUCUGAGCCUCAGCACCAUGGUAGAGCACCUGCUCGGCUCACGGCACCUUCGACUAGACCAAAGGAUAGAGAGCUAGUGCACAUUCAGAGCCGCACGUAAGUACUAGAUCUUCGAGCAAUAUUUUUAAAUUUUUUUAUCAUUUUAGAAUCGAUAUUUAUUGUUCAAAAUUAAAUUUAUAGGAUAUUUAGGGAGCUUGGGGUGUCUCGUGUCGUUAUCAAGAUCAUCCGACGAUUGAUGCUGGAGCUGGUGAACAAGUUCUCUAAUUGACCGUCG